This is a long non-coding RNA of Pelmatolapia mariae (spotted tilapia), 450 nucleotides long. RefSeq lists it as uncharacterized. The record is from RefSeq and is a predicted model, not a curated record. NCBI's taxonomy places the organism in Eukaryota, Metazoa, Chordata, Actinopteri, Cichliformes, Cichlidae. The transcript is spliced from 3 exons.
CUUGUCUAAGAGUGGGAGGGAUUUGAAGCACAAAGGGAGGAGCUUGUCGUUUGGUUGGCUGAUAUGGAUGUCCACCUGAGUGCGGUUGACCAGCUGACAGGAAACACAUGUGAAAAACUGAAACAACUGCAGAUCUACAGAUUUGGGAUAAGCUACAGGCUCCUCCACCCCUGCUGGCUCUUCUGUCCUGCCCAGGUUGGCGCUCCUGGUGCCCCCUCGUCAGGUCCAGCAGUCCUACCGUCCAUCCAACAGCUCCUUCUCCCCUCUUACAGCCUCUAUGGGAGCUCCAUCUGUGGUGGCUACAGGCCUUACAGCUACAGCUAUGGUGGCGGCUAUGGUGGUGGCUACAGCCUGGGAGGAUACAGACACACACCUCACCUUGAAGACGUCCCCCCCAGCAGACACUAACUGGGCGAGCGAGGAGGACGACCACGUGGUGGCCAGAGGAGA